UCAAACUUGGUCAUUUAGAGGAAGUAAAAGUCGUAACAAGGUCUCCGUUGGUGAACCAGCGGAGGGAUCAUUACUGAGUUUUCUAAACUCCCAAACCCAUGUGAACAUACCUUUUGUUGCCUCGGCAGUGGUGCCGUCGCCCCUCGCGGCGGCGGCAGCCUGCCGGCGGACCCAAUAAACUCUUGUUGUUACAGUGUCAUUCUGAAUUAAAAAACUUAAUUAGUUAAAACUUUCAACAACGGAUCUCUUGGUUCUGGCAUCGAUGAAGAACGCAGC
RNAcentral lists this unclassified non-coding RNA (276 nucleotides) under uncultured fungus. Its description in RNAcentral is "partial contains small subunit ribosomal RNA, internal transcribed spacer 1, and 5.8S ribosomal RNA". The stretch from base 1 to 73 matches the Rfam family "Eukaryotic small subunit ribosomal RNA", at positions 1759 to 1831 of the family's 1831-position model. Lineage: Eukaryota; Fungi. The record is from RNAcentral.